Molecule: small RNA, 539 nt
Filed under: Pan troglodytes (chimpanzee)
Lineage: Eukaryota; Metazoa; Chordata; Mammalia; Primates; Hominidae
Description: processed transcript
Source: RNAcentral
GCAGCUGGAACACAGGAGGGCUGUGGAAAAACUUAUUGAAGAGCGUCGCCAACAAUUCCUUGCAGACAAACAACGUGAACUAGAAGAGUGGCAGUUGCAGCAAAGGCGGCAAGGAUUUAUUAAUGCAAUUAUUGAAGAAGAAAGGCUAAAACUUCUUAAAGAGCAUGCUACAAACUUACUAGGCUAUCUCCCUAAAGGAGUAUUUGAAAAAGAGGAUGAUAUUGAUCUGCUUGGUGAAGAGUUCAGGAAAGUAUAUCAACAAAGGAGUGAAAUUUGUGAAGAGAAAUGAUAUCAUCAAAAUUGGGGACAUGGAUGAAAUUGGAAAUCAUCAUUCUCAGCAAACUAUCGCAAGAACAAAAAACCAAACACCGCAUAUUCUCACUCAUAGGUGGGAAUUGAAUAAUGAGAACACAUGGACACAGGAAGGGGAACAUCACACUCUGGAGACUGGAUUUUUUUAAAAAGCAAAGUCAACUAGAUGCUGCUAAUGAGAAGACACAAAGGAGUUACAAAUAAAAGAAUGGAAAAAGAUAAGACAA